GGUAAAGUGGCUGAGUAUAGGCGAUAAAUUGUAAAUUUAUUUAGGUGAAUAAUCCACCUUUAUCA
RNAcentral lists this transfer RNA (65 nucleotides) under Dianemobius furumagiensis. RNAcentral's name for it is "tRNA-Tyr". Lineage: Eukaryota; Metazoa; Arthropoda; Insecta; Orthoptera; Trigonidiidae. The record is from RNAcentral.